RNAcentral lists this ribosomal RNA (484 nucleotides) under uncultured bacterium. RNAcentral describes it as "partial 16S ribosomal RNA". It matches the Rfam family "Bacterial small subunit ribosomal RNA", at positions 30 to 507 of the family's 1533-position model. The record is from RNAcentral.
AUUGAACGUUGGCGGCAGGCCUAACACAUGCAAGUCGAGUGGAUGAAGGGAGCUUGCUCCUGGAUUCAGCGGCGGACGGGUGAGUAAUGCCUAGGAAUCUGCCUGGUAGUGGGGGAUAACGUCCGGAAACGGGCGCUAAUACCGCAUACGUCCUGAGGGAGAAAGUGGGGGAUCUUCGGACCUCACGCUAUCAGAUGAGCCUAGGUCGGAUUAGCUAGUUGGUGGGGUAAAGGCCUACCAAGGCGACGAUCCGUAACUGGUCUGAGAGGAUGAUCAGUCACACUGGAACUGAGACACGGUCCAGACUCCUAAGGGAGGCAGCAGUGGGGAAUAUUGGACAAUGGGCGAAAGCCUGAUACAGCCAUGCCGCGUGUGUGAAGAAGGUCUUCGGAUUGUAAAGCACUUUAAGUUGGGAGGAAGGGCAGUAAGUUAAUACCUUGCUGUUUUGACGUUACCAACAGAAUAAGCACCGGCUAACUUCGUG